GGAGGUCUGUGUGUUUGAGCAGGUGGCGAGGAUUAGCGGUGCUGUCAACACUGAGCGCUGGAUAAAGCCUCUGCUCAUCCUUUCCUCGGUCUGCUCAUUAGAGCUCAUCAUUUUACCAUUUCACUCUCACACAUGUAUCUGAAGAGAUGUAGUGGCAGCCCUGUCUCCUGUUGUGAAGCAGAUGUUGCCCUCUGUUUUUACCCACCUCUGCACCCUUUAUCCCAUGCCAAGUCCCAAAAAGCAACGUGAGGGACACAAUGGAUAUGUAAAAAUCCAGCAGAAUACAGAAAUCUACAGUGUUUCCUUAAACUGUGUAAAUUCACAUGAAGUAGCCUGCAACCUACCGAAA
This is a long non-coding RNA of Cyprinus carpio carpio, 349 nucleotides long. NCBI's taxonomy places the organism in Eukaryota, Metazoa, Chordata, Actinopteri, Cypriniformes, Cyprinidae. The record is from Ensembl.